AGCGGCGGACGGGUGAGUAAUGCCUAGGAAAUUGCCCUGAUGUGGGGGAUAACCAUUGGAAACGAUGGCUAAUACCGCAUAAUGCCUACGGGCCAAAGAGGGGGACCUUCGGGCCUCUCGCGUCAGGAUAUGCCUAGGUGGGAUUAGCUAGUUGGUGAGGUAAUGGCUCACCAAGGCGACGAUCCCUAGCUGGUCUGAGAGGAUGAUCAGCCACACUGGAACUGAGACACGGUCCAGACUCCUACGGGAGGCAGCAGUGGGGAAUAUUGCACAAUGGGCGCAAGCCUGAUGCAGCCAUGCCGCGUGUGUGAAGAAGGCCUUCGGGUUGUAAAGCACUUUCAGUCGUGAGGAAGGUAGUGUAGUUAAUAGCUGCAUUAUUUGACGUUAGCGACAGAAGAAGCACCGGCUAACUCCGUGCCAGCAGCCGCGGUAAUACGGAGGGUGCGAGCGUUAAUCGGAAUUACUGGGCGUAAAGCGCAUGCAGGUGGUUUGUUAAGUCAGAUGUGAAAGCCCGGGGCUCAACCUCGGAAUUGCAUUUGAAACUGGCAGACUAGAGUACUGUAGAGGGGGGUAGAAUUUCAGGUGUAGCGGUGAAAUGCGUAGAGAUCUGAAGGAAUACCGGUGGCGAAGGCGGCCCCCUGGACAGAUACUGACACUCAGAUGCGAAAGCGUGGGGAGCAAACAGGAUUAGAUACCCUGGUAGUCCACGCCGUAAACGAUGUCUACUUGGAGGUUGUGGCCUUGAGCCGUGGCUUUCGGAGCUAACGCGUUAAGUAGACCGCCGGGGGAGUACGGUCGCAAGAUUAAAACUCAAAUGAAUUGACGGGGGCCCGCACAAGCGGUGGAGCAUGUGGUUUAAUUCGAUGCAACGCGAAGAACCUUACCUACUCUUGACAUCCAGAGAACUUUUCAGAGAUGAAUUGGUGCCUUCGGGAACUCUGAGACGGUGCUGCAUGGCUGUCGUCAGCUCGUGUUGUGAAAUGUUGGGUUAGUCCCGCAACGAGCGCAACCUUAUCCUGGUUGCCACGAGUAAGUCGGGAAUCCGGGA
Molecule: ribosomal RNA, 1048 nt
Filed under: Vibrio sp.
Lineage: Bacteria; Pseudomonadati; Pseudomonadota; Gammaproteobacteria; Vibrionales; Vibrionaceae
Description: bacterial SSU rRNA
Rfam family: Bacterial small subunit ribosomal RNA
Source: RNAcentral